GACGAACGCUGGCGGCGUGCCUAACACAUGCAAGUCGAGCGGAGUCAGUAAGAGGAAGUUUUCGGAUGGAAUCUUAUUGAUUUAGCGGCGGACGGGUGAGUAACGCGUGAGCGACCAACCUUGCACAGGGGGAUACGGACCGAAACGGUCCCUAAAACCGCAUGAGACCACGGUGUUGCAUGACACAGAGGUAAAAGGAGGAAGCCGGUGCAAGACGGGCUCGCGUCCGAUUAGGUAGUUGGAGGGGGAACGGCCCACCAAGCCUAUGAUCGGUAGCCGACCUGAGAGGGUGAUCGGCCACAUUGGAACUGAGAUACGGUCCAAACUCCUACGGGAGGCAGCAGUGGGGAAUAUUGGGCAAUGGGCGAAACCCUGACCCAGCAACGCCGCGUGAAGGAAGAAGGUUUUCGGAUUGUAAACUUCUGUCCUUGGUGAAGAGAAGAAGACGGUAGCCAAGGAGGAAGCCCCGGCUAACUACGUGCCAGCCGCCGCAGUAA
RNAcentral lists this ribosomal RNA (497 nucleotides) under uncultured bacterium. Its description in RNAcentral is "partial 16S ribosomal RNA". It matches the Rfam family "Bacterial small subunit ribosomal RNA", at positions 28 to 523 of the family's 1533-position model. The record is from RNAcentral.